Molecule: unclassified non-coding RNA, 240 nt
Filed under: soil metagenome
Description: partial contains 5.8S ribosomal RNA, internal transcribed spacer 2, and large subunit ribosomal RNA
Source: RNAcentral
AACCUAGCACACCUGCGGUGUGUACCUGCGGAGGGAUCAUUAUUGAAUAAACUUGGUCAAGCUGUUGCUGGUCCUUCGGGGCAUGUGCACGCUUGCCACCAAUUUUAACCACCUGUGCACCUUUUGUAGAUUGGAAACGUUUCUCGAGGCAACUCGGAUUGAGGACUGCUGUGCGCAAGCCAGCUGUUCUUGUGUUUCUCAAUCUAUGUUUUUAUAUACUCCUAAUGUAUGUAUCAGAAU